GUUAAAGCACUUUCAGUAGGGAGGAAGGUAGUGUAGUUAACACCUGCAUUAUUUGACGUUACCUACAGAAGAAGCACCGGCUAACUCCGUGCCAGCAGCCGCGGUAAUACGGAGGGUGCGAGCGUUAAUCGGAAUUACUAGGGGCGUAAAGCGCAUGCAGGCGGCCUGUUAAGUCAGAUGUGAAAGACCCGGGGCUUAACCUCGGAAAUUGCAUUUGUAAACUGGCAGGCUAGAGUCUUGUAGAGGGGGUAGGAAUUUCAGGUGUAGCGGUGAAAUGCGUAGAGAUCUGAAGGAAUACCAGUGGCGAAGGCGGCCCCCUCGGACAAAGACUGACGCUCAGAUGCGAAAGCGUGGGGAGCAAACAGGAUUAGAUACCCUGGUAG
This 383-nucleotide ribosomal RNA is filed under the name uncultured bacterium. Its description in RNAcentral is "bacterial SSU rRNA". It matches the Rfam family "Bacterial small subunit ribosomal RNA", at positions 424 to 793 of the family's 1533-position model. The record is from RNAcentral.